CCCUUCUUCAUCGCGGAACCCCAAUUAUGCGUGGUAGCAACCUUACGCAGCUACGUGACGGCUACCGCCUCUCUUCGCCCGACUCCCUCCGGUCAACUACUGAUUUCCUACGUCAAACCCUACAAUCCAGUUUCCUCUACCACUCUCGCUAGAUGGGUACGCUGGAUCUUGUCACUGGCGGGCGUGGAUGCCACUUUCGGGGCUCAUUCGGUGAGAGGCGCGGCUGCUUCUUCGGCCUAUGCAGCCGGAGCAUCACUAUCAGAUGUUCUACGCACGGCCGACUGG
Pelobates cultripes (western spadefoot toad) is the source of this 285-nucleotide non-coding RNA. NCBI's taxonomy places the organism in Eukaryota, Metazoa, Chordata, Amphibia, Anura, Pelobatidae. The record is from the annotation of a GenBank genome assembly.